Molecule: small nucleolar RNA, 122 nt
Organism: Suncus etruscus (white-toothed pygmy shrew)
Lineage: Eukaryota; Metazoa; Chordata; Mammalia; Eulipotyphla; Soricidae
Product: small nucleolar RNA ACA64
Exons: 1
Source: RefSeq, a predicted model, not a curated record
GAUUUCUGCUAAAAUCACAGCAGCUUUGGCAGCUUGGAGAGAUUCAGUGGUCAAAACCAGUGGGGCCUUAGAUCAGUCCUCACUUGCCAGUGUGGGUAGGUGGAGCCAAAGUCCCUACUUGU